Danio rerio (zebrafish) is the source of this 115-nucleotide non-coding RNA. The record is from Rfam. NCBI's taxonomy places the organism in Eukaryota, Metazoa, Chordata, Actinopteri, Cypriniformes, Danionidae.
AAACACUUUCAUUUCACUCUGCUGCCCAAGACUGGUUACUCACUGAAGCUAAGCAGGGCUGAGCCUGGUAAGUACUUUAAUGGGAGACCACAUGGGAAAACUAGGUUGCUGUUGG